Molecule: ribosomal RNA, 253 nt
Filed under: uncultured bacterium
Lineage: Bacteria
Description: partial 16S ribosomal RNA
Rfam family: Bacterial small subunit ribosomal RNA
Source: RNAcentral
GACGAACCGUGCAAACGUUGUUCGGAUUCACUGGGCUUAAAGGGCGCGUAGGCGGGCGGCCAAGUCAGGGGUGAAAUCUUUCGGCUCAACCGGAAAAUUGCCUUUGAUACUGGCCGUCUGGAGGGAGGUAGGGGCACGUGGAACUUCCGGUGGAGCGGUGAAAUGCGUUGAUAUCGGAAGGAACGCCGGUGGCGAAAGCGACGUGCUGGACCUCUUCUGACGCUGAUGCGCGAAAGCUAGGGGAGCGAACGGG